Solenopsis invicta (red fire ant) is the source of this 1237-nucleotide long non-coding RNA. RefSeq lists it as uncharacterized. The record is from RefSeq and is a predicted model, not a curated record. The transcript is spliced from 2 exons. Lineage: Eukaryota; Metazoa; Arthropoda; Insecta; Hymenoptera; Formicidae.
UAGAAUAUUGCAUAUAAUAUUUUCGCAAAGAACUGUAAUAAUUUAUUAAAUUUUACGAUGUUUGCACAACGUUAUUAAUAAUAAGAUUAUAAAUGUCGCAAAUAAAAUAAGAAAUAAUUGAAAAGUACAUGAAACGUGGUACAUUCAACAAGUGUGAGAACAAAGAGUAUUUCAAAGUCUGUCAUGUUUGAGGUUUGCAAUAUGUUUGGUCUACUAAAAUACGAAAAUGCGAUUGGCCAAAGUCCACGUGUCACAAAGUAUGCUCUACACGUGCAUCGUAUAGACUAGAGCUACUAGCCUUGCUGAACACGUGCUUUAAAGUUUUAUUUAAAACUUAAACUGCCAAGAAAGCGAAUUCGUACAUUGUAUUUUUUUUACCUGUUAAUUUUGUAUUAUAUACUUAUAAAUUAUUAGUUUAACUGACUUACACAUUGUUCAUACUUGUUGAUAUUGUCAUUAACCAGCGAUUUUUAAUAUAGUUCGUUAGCGCAUUUUAAAUUUCCACAAAAAGCAAAGAAAAGAAUAAAUUGAAAUAAAAAAGAGAAGACGUGAUUAUGGAAGUAAAUAAAUUAGCACAAUUUUCAUAGAUUCAUAGAUUUCAUAGUCAUCAGACAAGUUUGAUAAAGUUUCGAGGGACUAUCCUUUUGUGAUAAUCAUGUUGUCUAUUAACGAAAAAAUAAAACACAAGUUGAAGCUUUACAUCAUGCGAGAAUGCCAACGAAAGAGGCAGCGAGGCAUAUCAUUUCAUCUGACUUUGUGAUUAUGUUACUGCCUUUUAUCAUGUUUUACUUCAAAACAGGAAAUAAAAAAAACGGCAAUUUGCAGUAAACUAUGAGUUAGAGAGAGAAAUCUAUUGUAUGCAAAAAACGAUUUGUGAAUUGCAAAACAAAAAACGUUUGUUAAUUAAAAUGUUCAAGGAAAUAUUAUACGAGGAAGUGGAGGCUAUGAGACGACGCUAUAUGCAAACGAGUAUUCGACGACGGAAAAAGACUGUGUGGAAGAAAAGAACCAUCACAUAUGCCAAUGUAUACAUGCGUGAGUACAGAAAAUGCCCUUUUCUUGAUAAAAACAUUUCUUAAAAUUUUUCAUAUAAUUUUUUAAUAUUUUUUUGUAAAUUUAAAAAUUUUACAGAAUUUCUAUAUAAUUUUAUAUCUUCUCAGUUUUUUUAUACGAAUUGGAACACUAGAGAAAUGUUCAAGAAGUUUUUUCUAGAAUUCUUCCUGUGACUUCUAAGAUA